AUAUCUUAUUGCUUUUAUCCUUCUGUGGGAGUUGAAUGGCAAAGUGUCUUUGAUCUCUCCAAAUAUUGAUGGAAGAAGAGUUGUCCGCUAUCUAAAUUCUGGUACAUUUUCUAACCAAUUUUUAUACUCUGAUUUUACAAGGUAAUAAUCCAAUUGAUGUCAAUAGAAAAAUUCUAACCAUGGAAAGCUUAAUUGGACGUUGAGUUGAUUGUGUGGAAAAAAAAAUCAGAAUGACACACUAACGUGGAAAAAGCCGGAUUGCUGAUGAGCAUAGGGGCAAAUAGAUGCAAUUCAUAUUAUUUCAUAAGAAUUCAGAGGAAAAUAUUGUUGAGCAUCACAUCAAUUA
RNAcentral lists this unclassified non-coding RNA (346 nucleotides) under Hevea brasiliensis (rubber tree). The record is from RNAcentral. Lineage: Eukaryota; Viridiplantae; Streptophyta; Magnoliopsida; Malpighiales; Euphorbiaceae.